AGCAGCCGCGGUAAUACGUAGGGUGCAAGCGUUAAUCGGAAUUACUGGGCGUAAAGCGUGCGCAGGCGGUUAUGCAAGACAGAGGUGAAAUCCCCGGGCUCAACCUGGGAACUGCCUUUGUGACUGCAUGGCUAGAGUACGGUAGAGGGGGAUGGAAUUCCGCGUGUAGCAGUGAAAUGCGUAGAUAUGCGGAGGAACACCGAUGGCGAAGGCAAUCCCCUGGACCUGUACUGACGCUCAUGCACGAAAGCGUGGGGAGCAAACAGGAUUAGAUACCCUGGUAGUCCACGCCCUAAACGAUGUCAACUGGUUGUUGGGAGGGUUUCUUCUCUAGUAACGUAGCUAACGCGUGAAGUUGACCGCCUGGGGAGUACGGCCGCAAGGUUGAAACUCAAAGAAAUUGACGG
RNAcentral lists this ribosomal RNA (407 nucleotides) under uncultured rumen bacterium. Its description in RNAcentral is "bacterial SSU rRNA". It matches the Rfam family "Bacterial small subunit ribosomal RNA", at positions 510 to 916 of the family's 1533-position model. The record is from RNAcentral.